GCCACAACCAUGGCUGCUCCGGACCAGUGGUUCCAUGGCGCCGAUCUGGAGUGCGAGGGAGGCAGAGAAAGUGAGGCCUCGAGCUCCUCCGCACCAUCCUCUCCCAGAGCUUCUUCCCCGACGCCAUUUUUCCCUUUCCCAAGAUGCACUUCCUCCAUCUUGUGUGUAAAGGUGGCCAUCACGCACAGAUGGACAUGGCUAGUGUGUGUAGAGCUGCUCCAUUGCUCAAACAAAUAGUCCCAAGGCCAGAUAUAUGAUACUGGGGGUAUUUAGGGGCCAUCUGGAUCUUUCACUGUGAAUAACGUCCAACUGUUUGCUGGCUAUGUUCUGGUAUUGGUUCAUUUAUGGAAGGGUCCAACUCCAAAGCAUUGUCUGUUGGUGAUGAAGUGAAAUACAUGUAUUUGUUUUACUCUUGGUAGAGCAGCUGGAGGAGGGCUGCAGCAGGAGUGUGCGAAUCUGCAAGGCUGUGCACGAGCUCGAGGACGGCGCUGAUGGGUCAGCCAACUCCCGCGGCAGAUAUUUCUUGGAUGGGCUCUGUGGAUUUUGUGUUCUGCUACUGCCAGGUUUAAAUGGGAGUUGAGAGUACCAUGUGCGGCAUCAACCAAAGUGUUUACUUUUUCUUUGUUCUCAAGAAAUCAAGUGAGGAACUAAUCUUUCUUUUGCUUCUUUCAUAGUAUUGAGUGUUACAUUUUGUAUUGUGCUGAAGUUGAUCCAAUUUCAGCACCGCUCCUCCAGUUCUUGAUAGCAGGAGAGUUCUCUUCUCACCCUAUGUCAAAUGCUUUUAUUUUCUGGCGAGAUUGCAAUGAAAUAUAAAUUGGAUACCUCGCUGACCACAUCGCCUUCCGUUUGCCUGCUCUGCCAUGCGAACACUGGCUCUGCGUGGUGGCCACUGCAAGGUUUUGAGGCUGGUUGAGGUUUCAUACAUAUUUUCUCCUUCCCGUUGUUGAUCCAAGAUUCUGCUGUUCUCGAGCCCGAGUGAUGGCUACUGAUGGGAGAAAUAUAGAUUUUUUAAACAAUACAUCAACACAUUAUAUGCCCAAAAUGUCAUUCUAUACCUCGUGCAUUUACAAAGUAUGCAAUGCAAAAUAUUUGCAGUAUACUUAGGAGGUUUGAUUGAUGGAGAAUUCAGGUUGUUAGCAUGCACUUACAUGUGAACAGAAUCAUUAGACUGAAAAUUUAUUUACUUUCUUGCAUUGUUAAUUGUUGUGGUCAAUUGUAUCCCCAAACUAAGGACUUAAUUCCAUGUUUACCUUCAGCCUAAAUGUUGUCUUAAUUAUCUGAAAUAUCAUAUGAUGUUUAUGCUUAGGACAUAGAUUAUUACUGAUCAUUUUAUCACCCAUGUUUAACCUACCUACAGGGAUGACUUGCUUGUAUAUUGCAUUGCUUCUUUUGAUUAUGUGGCUAGCAUUUAUCAUAUAGUGCAUCUUUCAGUUAUAUGGCUUCCAUGAGCAAGGUGCUAUUGCCAGGUAGAUGAAGGAUUCAUUCAUGGGAACAAUAAUGGUUCUCAGAUUUAGAGUCCGUGUUUGCUGUCCAUCGUGUAUAGGUUUAUAUUUUUUAUGGUAUCAUUUCUGGACCUUGUUUUUGAAUGUACCAUUCUAGACCUUCUUUCUUUGCAGGGGUUGGUUAUGUUCAAUCCGGGGUUUCUUCAUGAUUGUGCUUGUUGGUCACCUGCCAUGUCUGUUAGUUGUAGUGGUGCAAGCUCUGGCUCAGAGGAGGUGUUCUGAUGGCCUGUGGCAUAUUUCACCGAGGAGGCUCAUCAGCAUGAGUUUCAGGAAGAAUACAGUGCAAGUGAGCUUUACCUGGCAAGUUCAUGACUCAUGAGCAAGAAAUUAUGGUUUGAGAAUAUACCUUUCAUAUUGAAGAGGAGGUGCCAUCUGGUUGCCGGUAACUGCGUGUUGAAUCUUCUGCUGGUCAUAUCCUCCUACAACGAUUCUCCAACCCCUCAUUCCAAUGAUCCUCAUCUCAGGCAAGGUGUGCUAGGGAAGAAGAUGAAGUUGUAUAGAAUAUUGGACCCAAUUGUGGCAGGUAAUGGCUAGAAUAUUGUCAGAUCUGAACCAUACUGAAAUUUAGGGAUCUUUUUCUAGGAUGCAUGUUACAUUGGUUGAAAUGGCAAUCUAAAUUUUGCAGGUUACCAUCUUUGAGUUGAAUAUAAAUUAAUAGAGGCAGCUUCUUGAUAUUAAAUUUUAAGAAGUGGAAAAAUUUGCUCAUGUUUUAGAACAAUAAUAGGUUCAGUGUAAGCUAGAAAACAUAGUAUGCCAAUGGAAUGUCAUAUUUUAAGUAGCAGC
Lolium rigidum is the source of this 2285-nucleotide long non-coding RNA. RefSeq lists it as uncharacterized. The record is from RefSeq and is a predicted model, not a curated record. NCBI's taxonomy places the organism in Eukaryota, Viridiplantae, Streptophyta, Magnoliopsida, Poales, Poaceae. The transcript has 7 exons.